GAUGAACGCUGGCGGCGUGCUUAACACAUGCAAGUCGAACGGAGUUGUUUCGCUGACGAGACUUCGGUCAAAUCUUGAAACAACUUAGUGGCGGACGGGUGAGUAACGCGUGGGUAACCUGCCAUAUACAGGGGGAUAACACUUAGAAAUAGGUGCUAAUACCGCAUAAGCGCACAGUUCUGCAUGGAACAGUGUGAAAAACUCCGGUGGUAUAUGAUGGACCCGCGUCUGAUUAGCUAGUUGGUGAGGUAACGGCCCACCAAGGCAACGAUCAGUAGCCGGCCUGAGAGGGUGAACGGCCACAUUGGGACUGAGACACGGCCCAAACUCCUACGGGAGGCAGCAGUGGGGAAUAUUGCACAAUGGGGGAAACCCUGAUGCAGCGACGCCGCGUGAAGUGAAGAAGUAUUUCGGUAUGUAAAAGCUCUAUCAGCAAGGAAGAAAAUGACGGUACUUGACUAAGAAGCCCCCGGNUAACUACGUGCCAG
RNAcentral lists this ribosomal RNA (488 nucleotides) under uncultured bacterium. RNAcentral describes it as "bacterial SSU rRNA". It matches the Rfam family "Bacterial small subunit ribosomal RNA", at positions 28 to 511 of the family's 1533-position model. The record is from RNAcentral.